CCCUUAGAUGUCCUGGGCCGCACGCGCGUUACACUGAUGCAUUCAACGAGCUUAUAACCUUGGCCGAGAGGCCUGGGCAAUCUUGUUAACGUGCAUCGUGAUAGGGAUAGAUUAUUGAAAUUAUUAAUCUUGAACGAGGAAUUCCUAGUAAACGCAGAUCAUCAAUCUGCAUUGAUUACGUCCCUGCCCUUUGUACACACCGCCCGUCGCACCUACCGAUCGAAGGUAAUGAUGAGCCCUCAGGAUUGUGGCCUCGUCGCGUCAGCGUCUUGGCUGCGAGAAUCUGUGCAAAUCCCUACCUUUAGAGGAAGGUGAAGUCGUAACA
This 325-nucleotide ribosomal RNA is filed under the name uncultured eukaryote. RNAcentral's name for it is "partial 18S ribosomal RNA". It matches the Rfam family "Eukaryotic small subunit ribosomal RNA", at positions 1470 to 1796 of the family's 1831-position model. The record is from RNAcentral.